UGCUACCAUUAGUUUAUUGAAGUAUUAAAAGGGUUUUCUUUGAUGUAAAUGUAUUUCAUAUUAUAAAUCAUGCUACAUAGGUUAACUUCUUACCCUUCCUUCUCUUUUGGAGAAAUACCUAAAGAUUGAUUUUUUUUUUCCACCUGGACCUGUAAGCUCUGCCAUUUUUUUCCUCUAAAAAAAGAGUUUUCAUUUAGAAGAAUAUUGUUUUACAUGUAUUCGUGUGAAGGUGCAAUAUAAAUAAAAAUGUGGUAUAAAGAUAAACUGCAGGGUAAAUGGAUUGUUUACAAUGAGUACAUCCCAAUUAUUCUAUCUGUCAAAUUUUACACCCUGCAAAGGUCCAAUCAUUGGCUCUGCAGUUGUUUCUACCAAGGAUGUGAAAUGCUUGUGAAAUACAGCUAGUUGUGCAUUGAGCAACUUCUAUUGUUGACACUGAGCCUAUGUGACGCAGCACACACACACACACACAGAGAGAGAGAGUGGGAUGGCAGACUUCCUCUCUACAUGGAGAGCCGACAUUUGUCCUGACCUGAUGACUCAUUCAGCUACGAGUCUAAUCCUGCUUCUAUAUAAAUACAGAUGCAGAUCUCUUUGUGGUAAACACACACACACACACACACACACUCACUCACACAGGCUGACACACACGAGGAGGAGGAGGAGGAGGCGUUGGAAUGUGAUGAGUAGUGUGUACCAGGACAGACAAGUUUGCAUCUGAUAUGAUCACAUCCUGCUACAUGUAUCGGUCCUCCAGUCAAUGCAGGGUUAACACAACAAGCUCAAAAAACAGAAAA
Long non-coding RNA from Sebastes umbrosus (honeycomb rockfish), 794 nucleotides. RefSeq lists it as uncharacterized. The transcript has 2 exons. Lineage: Eukaryota; Metazoa; Chordata; Actinopteri; Perciformes; Sebastidae. The record is from RefSeq and is a predicted model, not a curated record.